AUAUUUCAAAAUUUUAAUGUCCCCUGCCUUUUUGAAUGUACCUUUUAAUGUCCCUUCGCUUUUUUUUUGUGUUGUGAUUAG
Long non-coding RNA from Bradysia coprophila, 81 nucleotides. The record is from RefSeq and is a predicted model, not a curated record. Lineage: Eukaryota; Metazoa; Arthropoda; Insecta; Diptera; Sciaridae.